Temnothorax curvispinosus is the source of this 836-nucleotide long non-coding RNA. RefSeq lists it as uncharacterized. The record is from RefSeq and is a predicted model, not a curated record. The transcript is spliced from 3 exons. NCBI's taxonomy places the organism in Eukaryota, Metazoa, Arthropoda, Insecta, Hymenoptera, Formicidae.
CGCUAGAGUUCUAUAUAAAGAGAGAAGCGACAUCGAACCCCCACUAUAGACUUCGCAUCCCCACCAUUACCUCCAGCACCGCCAUAUUGGGACCGCUCCAUAUGUCAUCAAACUGAUCAAACAUCAAACUCCAUUUAACAUACUCCGUCAGCGUGAGGUUAAGAUGUUCGAUACACAUGUUUAAUACAUGUUGCAGUUUUAUUCUCUUCAUGUUUUUUAUUAAAUAAAUGUGGUGAUUGAGUAAUAAUUGAUGGUGAAAAUUGAAAAUGUCAUGCACAGAGGAAGUGAGCGCUUCCUAAAUAUAUAAUAAUGACGAAUGGAAGCAUUACAUUGAUCAGUACACAAUUGAUGAGACUUCAGAAAUUUCUAUAAAUCAAUUCAAUUCCGAAACUCCUUGUGAUACUGCAAAUAAUAAACUGCUCAUCGAUCAACUAAAAGCUCAAAAUGAUGAAGCCUUACAAAAAAUCAUCCAUCUGGAAUGUGAGCAUGAUGCAAACCUAAACAAACUGAUGGUGAUGCUUUCUGCUAUUAAACAAAUGGAGAGUAAGAUGUAUUGUACGAAGCGACUAUUCAUGAAAGUUACAAGUUCAAGCGGACGACGAUGGAAAAAGUAUUAUGUCAGAGUACAAAAGAAGAAAAAUUUGUGAUUUUUAAUGAAAAUCGAGAUUUUUAUUGCUAAUAUUGCAUCAUAUACAAGAAAUUUUAUACAGUAUUUUUAACAUUCUUAAGUUUUAUAUCAAGUAGAAUCACAAUUGAGAAUCACAAUUAUGAAUUUGUAAAAAAAUAUAUAUAUCGCGUACGCGAUAUUUAUCGCGAUAUCUAUCGAUAUCUAUCUA